CGCGCGCGAGGAGAAGUGCAGGGGACCCAGCCGGAGUUGUAACCCCCUCCCCCGCCCCGGGCAGCCCCCUGCAGGUUGCAGCGAUAAUAACUCCUCCUGUAGAAGUUCUGUGACCUAGGAAAACGGAAUCCUGGAGGGUGGGGCUGGGAAGGGCGCUGCCCCCGGGGUCUGCAAUAGAUGCUCUUUCCCCGGAGGCUGCUUGGCAGCUGCCUCCUCCUCUUCUGGCCCCAAGAGUCAACUGGCUUCAGGGUGGGCCAGGAAGGAGACCCAGAAGUCCGAAGUCUCAAAUACCUGGGUGUAAACCACGUUUACUGGAGCUGAGAAUUUGAAUCCCCUAGUCUGAGGGGCAGUUUGGAGAAAUCAUAACUAGACAGACAACCUGCCAAGUGGAAGCCCUGGGUGGACUGUCUGAUCCUAGACCACCCGGGACUGCGGGCGAGACCCCUCACACAGCCGCUUAGCUGGACGGCAGGUGAAAUGCUGGCAUCUUGACACUGAGCCCGUGAGUAAGCGGACGCUGUGUCCCGUUGACUGUAAUUCAGGACGGGCAUGUGCGCUGUAUCCCAGCGCCAAAGUGCCGGAGGACGGCGGUUCUGCAGCGGUGAACGCAGCCUGCUGCCCGGUGAGUUCCUCAGGGUGACUGUGCGCUGCCCGGCAUUUCAGGGCAGCCAGAGGGGCACGUGGGGUGGUUUCUUGCCUUUUUCCAGGGAUACGUCAUUUAAAGCCUACCUCGUCCAGGUAACUCCCCUCGAGUGGGCUUUUCCCCAGUCCACGUGUAUAUUUUCACUGUUAACCAAAGGUCGCACAUUUCGUUGGCUGGCAUUCCUGAGUGUGUGGGUGGAGGUGCGGUAGCAAGGAGGGAGUGCUGCCUGCAGUCAAACAGACCGAGCAAGAACCAUCGCCCUGUUUCAGCGAACACGCCGCGCGGCUGUUAAUUGCGCUGGGGUAGUGCGCACGCGCACGCAUGUAACCUGAUUUCGCCCUCAACGUUUCUCUCCCCCAUAGCAUCGUAGAAUUCUGGAAU
Molecule: non-coding RNA, 1024 nt
Organism: Vicugna pacos (alpaca)
Lineage: Eukaryota; Metazoa; Chordata; Mammalia; Artiodactyla; Camelidae
Source: RefSeq, a predicted model, not a curated record